RNAcentral lists this unclassified non-coding RNA (219 nucleotides) under Hevea brasiliensis (rubber tree). Lineage: Eukaryota; Viridiplantae; Streptophyta; Magnoliopsida; Malpighiales; Euphorbiaceae. The record is from RNAcentral.
CAUUCAUAAUAACUUGCAAGAAGGAAUCUGCCGAGGUUUAUUGUGCGCUUUUGCCUGUGGUUUUUGGGAUCGUUUUGGCUAGUAAUAGUGAGCCUCUGUUUCAUUUAUUUGGGNNNNNNNNUACUGCUGGGCGUGCUUUGAAGUCUGUGGUUCAAGGAAUUUUAUUAACCUCAGAAGCUGAGAAGCUCCAUUCUAUGAAUUUGUUGCUCUAUAUGGCAC